Molecule: long non-coding RNA, 275 nt
Organism: Amphibalanus amphitrite
Lineage: Eukaryota; Metazoa; Arthropoda; Thecostraca; Balanomorpha; Balanidae
Exons: 3
Source: RefSeq, a predicted model, not a curated record
GCGCCAAAUGCAGCGCCGCGUGGGCCUCAGUCGCCAUCUUCGUGCGAUCCAGGGAGCUCGUGUCUGUGCUGCGUCUGACGUCUUGUUGAUACGGCUCAAGAUGAGCAGAAUGAAGGUCAAUCUCGAAGUCCCAGUCAGAGCUCAAGGCCUGUGAGGCAGGACUUCAUUCCUUGAUGAAUGCGGCUCAACUGCUAACAGGAUAAAAAGACACGGACCAGGGUUGGACGCUUUUUAGAAUUUCCUCUCGUGAGGCACAACGACGUGUCCGCGAAUGA